UACAGAGGUGGCAAGCGUUGUUCGGAAUUACUGGGCGUAAAGGGCGCGUAGGCGGUCUUGUAAGUCUUGUGUGAAAUCCCUCGGCUUAACUGAGGAACUGCACGAGAUACUGCAAGACUUGAGAUCGGGAGAGGGAAGCGGAAUUCCGGGUGUAGCGGUGAAAUGCGCAGAUAUCAGGAGGAACACCGGUGGCGAAGGCGGAUCUCUGGGCCUUACCUGACGCUCAGGCGCGAAAGCUAGGGGAGCGAACAGG
This 253-nucleotide ribosomal RNA is filed under the name uncultured bacterium. RNAcentral describes it as "partial 16S ribosomal RNA". It matches the Rfam family "Bacterial small subunit ribosomal RNA", at positions 524 to 776 of the family's 1533-position model. The record is from RNAcentral.